This is a long non-coding RNA of Brassica rapa (field mustard), 1524 nucleotides long. RefSeq lists it as uncharacterized. The record is from RefSeq and is a predicted model, not a curated record. NCBI's taxonomy places the organism in Eukaryota, Viridiplantae, Streptophyta, Magnoliopsida, Brassicales, Brassicaceae.
AUUAUUGAUUUCUUUAAUUAUUUUUAUAUAAGGCUCGGUCCACUACUAUUUUCAUUUUUAUUAUGUACUAACGUUUUUAAAAAGUAAUUGAAACAUUAGUUGUGUGUGUGCUUGGUUAGGUAAGAGACAUUCCGAGAAAAAGAAUCGAGAAGAAGAAAAAAGAGAAAAGUUAAUGGGUAAAUUGUGAAAAUGUGUAAAAGAAAGGGUCGUUGUUUGAAAAGACCCACAAGAAAGGGACGAGGAUGUAUUUUUUUUUUGUAAAAAAGGCUUUCAUUAAAAUUUAAAACAAAGUACAGAUGUGAUUUGUUAGAUCAUAUAGUUUGAGAAAGUGUGAUACAUGAAGUAGACAUAAAAAAGAGCUAUAAAAGUUUGAAAACUUAGUACAACUCUUAGCUUAACCAAACUAAGAAGGAUAUUAGUGCGCUUGAUUGGAACCUCGACCUCUACGGCCUCGUUUUCCUUUUCCACGAACUGUCAUCCAUCCCAUAUCUUGGUACUUUUGUGUCGGUUUGAUCAACCGACCCCCUCUUGUCAUGUUUCCAUCCAAUACAUCCUCGUUCGGGACGAGGAUGUAUUGGAUGCCCGUGAUUCAUGAAUGGUAUGUGGCCUUGGUUACGCGUCACGCAUUUGUUUGUAUAUCGAUUUAUAUGAACCAUAUUUCAAGAACAAAUACAUAUAUUGUUUAAAUAUAAAAAGAAUGAAUGUAUAAUCAUAUACAAAAAUCACAUAGUAGUAGUAUGAUGAUGAUGACAAAGAAAAUAUUACCAUGAAUUUACAGAGGUAGCUUAAGUGUUUCAAGAUACAUUAAAGUACUUUGUCUUCAUUAGUGUUAGAUAAAAAAAUGGUUUAGUAUUGUGUUACCAACUACAAAGUUCAUAUGUCGACGUAUUUUUUUUAUGUUUUUGUUGCUACUGAAAGAACAAAAACAUAUCACAUGGGGAACGUAUAUGUUCUGAUGUGACCUAAUUUUUGGUCGUGAAUAAUAUUGCUUUCAGAUUCCAUUAAAAGGAAAAGAUUAUAAAACAAAUGAAAAAAUGAAUAAUAAAAAAUAGGAAAAAGAGAAGGAGAGUGGAGAGGAGAGAGGAGAGGGGACCUGAAAAGCAGAAGAAGCAGUUCCGAAGACAAAGCCUUUUGGGAAACUGCCUCUGGAAAUUUCCUCAGCACAUAUGCAUGUCUUAUCCAUCGUCACCAUCAUCAUAAUUAUGGUCAUCGUCAACAUGAAAGAUAGAAGUGAGAGAUACGAAACAAGGAGAAUAAAGAAGAGUGCUAGUGGAAAACCAAAGCUAUGAAAGGGGUGCUAUAAAUAGGAAAGUGGGAAAUGUGAGAUAUAUGAAAUCUUCGGCUUUAUAAAAAAAGAAAUGAAAUCUUCGGAUAAGAUGCUAAUUAUUAAUUAAAAAAAUAUAAAUACAUUAUAAUAACUGUUGCUGAGAAAAGAAAAUGAAAGACAUAUCAAAAAUAGACGUACAAAAAUUAAUAGUGAAUUAUUUUUUAUGUUAUAGAACUAGUUAUAUGGAUAAAGUUGAU